CAAUAGCGUAUAUUAACGUUGUUGCAGUUAAAAAGCUCGUAGUUGGAUUUCUGGAGGGAGCGUCGACCCGUAUUUACGAGUGCGUGACGUCUCUGUCCAUCCUUGCGGGAAGGCACGGCAUUGAUUUGUUGUGUCGGAUCGCAUCAUUUACUGUGAAAAAAUUAGAGUGUUCAAAGCAGGCUUUCGCUUGAAUACAUUAGCAUGGAAUAAUAAGAUAGGACUUUGGUGCUAUUUUGUUGGUUGAGCCUAAAGUAAUGAUUAAUAGGGACAGUUGGGGGCACCUGUAUUGCGUUGUCAGAGGUGAAAUUCUUGGAUUUACGCAAGACAAACAGCUGCGAAAGCGUCUGCCAAGGAUGUUUUCAUUAA
Molecule: ribosomal RNA, 366 nt
Filed under: uncultured eukaryote
Lineage: Eukaryota
Description: partial 18S ribosomal RNA
Rfam family: Eukaryotic small subunit ribosomal RNA
Source: RNAcentral